Molecule: ribosomal RNA, 530 nt
Filed under: uncultured bacterium
Lineage: Bacteria
Description: bacterial SSU rRNA
Rfam family: Bacterial small subunit ribosomal RNA
Source: RNAcentral
AAUAGAUACCCAGGUAGUCCACGCCGUAAACGAUGUCGACUUGGAGGUUGUUCCCUUGAGGAGUGGCUUCCGGAGCUAACGCGUUAAGUCGACCGCCUGGGGAGUACGGCCGCAAGGUUAAAACUCAAAUGAAUUGACGGGGGCCCGCACAAGCGGUGGAGCAUGUGGUUUAAUUCGAUGCAACGCGAAGAACCUUACCUACUCUUGACAUCCAGAGAACUUAGCAGAGAUGUCUUUGGUGCCGUUCGGGAACUCUGAGACAGGUGCUGCAUGGCUGUCGUCAGCUCGUGUUGUGAAUGUUGGGUUAAGUCCCGCAACGAGCGCAACCUUAUCCUUGUUGCCAGCGGUUCGGCCGGGAACUCAAAGGAGACUGCCAGUGAUAAACUGGAGGAAGGUGGGGAUGACGUCAAGUCAUCAUGGCCCUUACGAGUAGGGCUACACACGUGCUACAAUGGCGUAUACAAAGAGAAGCGACCUCGCGAGAGCAAGCGGACCUCAUAAAGUACGUCGUAGUCCGGAUUGGAGUCUGC